GUGCUCGCUUCAGCAGCACAGAUACUAAAAAAUUGGAAUGAUACAGAGAAUAUUAGUAUGGUCCCUGCACAAGGAUGACACGCAAAUUCGUGAAGCGUACAAUAAAGAA
RNAcentral lists this small nuclear RNA (109 nucleotides) under Aotus nancymaae (Ma's night monkey). Lineage: Eukaryota; Metazoa; Chordata; Mammalia; Primates; Aotidae. The record is from RNAcentral.